This is a long non-coding RNA of Hyla sarda, 285 nucleotides long. RefSeq lists it as uncharacterized. The transcript is spliced from 2 exons. Lineage: Eukaryota; Metazoa; Chordata; Amphibia; Anura; Hylidae. The record is from RefSeq and is a predicted model, not a curated record.
UGCUUCAAUAUAUUUUUCCAUGACAGACCACAAGUAAAAUUGUAUUGUGUUUUGGGAAGGGUUUUGCUUUCCAUGCUGUAUAACUCGGUUCAGAUGGGGUCUAAUGAAGAUGAAUGCAAUUAUGAGUGAAACAUUUCACUUGAAGAUACGAGCAAAAGAAAUCUCACUCUGCUUGAUGUAAAUUCUUGUUAGAGGAAGCCUGGAAGUGCCAAAAAUCAAUCUGAAUGUGAGGAUGUUCUCUAUUGCAGCGAAAGUGAAAAAAUAAAAUAAAAAAAUACAUAUAUA